CAGCCGCCGCGGGAAUACAGAGGGUGCGAGCGUUAAUCGGAUUUACUGGGCGUAAAGCGUGCGUAGGCGGCUUCUUAAGUCGGAUGUGAAAUCCCUGAGCUUAACUUAGGAAUUGCAUUCGAUACUGGGAAGCUAGAGUAUGGGAGAGGAUGGUAGAAUUCCAGGUGUAGCGGUGAAAUGCGUAGAGAUCUGGAGGAAUACCGAUGGCGAAGGCAGCCAUCUGGCCUAAUACUGACGCUGAGGUACGAAAGCAUGGGGAGCAAACAGGAUUAGAUACCCGAGUAGUCCCUGUCUCUUAUAA
Molecule: ribosomal RNA, 301 nt
Filed under: uncultured bacterium
Lineage: Bacteria
Description: partial 16S ribosomal RNA
Rfam family: Bacterial small subunit ribosomal RNA
Source: RNAcentral